Molecule: transfer RNA, 20 nt
Filed under: Gethyllis britteniana
Lineage: Eukaryota; Viridiplantae; Streptophyta; Magnoliopsida; Asparagales; Amaryllidaceae
Description: partial tRNA-Leu
Source: RNAcentral
AAAAUCCGUCGACUUAGAAA